AGCGAACGCUGGCGGCAUGCCUAACACAUGCAAGUCGAACGGCAGCACAGUGCUUCUUGCUCGAUGGGUCGCGAGUGGCGGACGUGUGACGAAUACAUCGGAAUCUGCUCAGUCGUGGGGGACAACGUAAGUCUAGUUACUCUACUACCUCAUGCGUCCUUCUGGGUUAAGCCGGUGACCUUCGGGCCUGGCGCGGUGUGAGGAGCCCAUGUUCGAUUAGUUAGUUGGCGGGGUAAAGGCCCACCAAGGCGGCGAUCGAUAGCUGGUCUGAGAGGAUGAUCAGCGACACUGGGACUGAGACACGGCCCAGACUCCUACGGGAGGUAGCAGUAGGGAAUAUUGGACAAUGGGCGAAAGCCUGAUCCAGCCAUGCCGCGUGAGUGAAGAAGGCCCUCGGGUUGUAAAGCUCUUUUGUGCGGGAAGAAAAGCAUCGGGCUAAUACCACGGUGGACUGACGGUACCGGAAGAAGAAGCACCGGCUAACUACGUG
Molecule: ribosomal RNA, 490 nt
Filed under: uncultured bacterium
Lineage: Bacteria
Description: partial 16S ribosomal RNA
Rfam family: Bacterial small subunit ribosomal RNA
Source: RNAcentral